GAUGAACGCUGGCGGCGUGCCUAAUACAUGCAAGUCGAGCGAACAGACGAGGAGCUUGCUCCUCUGACGUUAGCGGCGGACGGGUGAGUAACACGUGGAUAACCUACCUAUAAGACUGGGAUAACUUCGGGAAACCGGAGCUAAUACCGGAUAAUAUAUUGAACCGCAUGGUUCAAUAGUGAAAGACGGUUUUGCUGUCACUUAUAGAUGGAUCCGCGCCGCAUUAGCUAGUUGGUAAGGUAACGGCUUACCAAGGCAACGAUGCGUAGCCGACCUGAGAGGGUGAUCGGCCACACUUGAACUGAGACACGGUCCAGACUCCUACGGGAGGCAGCAGUAGGGAAUCUUCCGCAAUGGGCGAAAGCCUGACGGAGCAACGCCGCGUGAGUGAUGAAGGUCUUCGGAUCGUAAAACUCUGUUAUUAGGGAAGAACAAAUGUGUAAGUAACUAUGCACGUCUUGACGGUACCUAAUCAGAAAGCCACGGCUAACUACGUG
RNAcentral lists this ribosomal RNA (497 nucleotides) under uncultured bacterium. RNAcentral's name for it is "partial 16S ribosomal RNA". It matches the Rfam family "Bacterial small subunit ribosomal RNA", at positions 28 to 507 of the family's 1533-position model. The record is from RNAcentral.